GGCGGCAGGCCUAACACACGCAAGUCGAGCGGAAACGAGAAUAGCUUGCUAUUCGGCGUCGAGCGGCGGACGGGUGAGUAAUGCUUGGGAAUAUGCCUUUUGGUGGGGGACAACAGUUGGAAACGACUGCUAAUACCGCAUAACGUCUACGGACCAAAGUGGGGGACCUUCGGGCCUCACGCCAAGAGAUUAGCCCAAGUGGGAUUAGCUAGUUGGUGAGGUAAUGGCUCACCAAGGCGACGAUCCCUAGCUGGUUUGAGAGGAUGAUCAGCCACACUGGAACUGAGACACGGUCCAGACUCCUACGGGAGGCAGCAGUGGGGAAUAUUGCACAAUGGGCGCAAGCCUGAUGCAGCCAUGCCGCGUGUGUGAAGAAGGCCUUCGGGUUGUAAAGCACUUUCAGUCAGGAGGAAAGGUUAGUCGUUAAUAGCGGCUAGCUGUGACGUUACUGACAGAAGAAGCACCGGCUAACUCCGUGCCAGCAGCCGCGGUAAUACGGAGGGUGCGAGCGUUAAUCGGAAUUACUGGGCGUAAAGCGUACGCAGGCGGUUUGUUAAGCGAGAUGUGAAAGCCCCGGGCUCAACCUGGGAACUGCAUUUCGAACUGGCAGACUAGAGUGUGAUAGAGGGUGGUAGAAUUUCAGGUGUAGCGGUGAAAUGCGUAGAGAUCUGAAGGAAUACCGAUGGCGAAGGCAGCCACCUGGGUCAACACUGACGCUCAUGUACGAAAGCGUGGGGAGCAAAC
Molecule: ribosomal RNA, 744 nt
Filed under: bacterium WP1ISO9
Lineage: Bacteria
Description: bacterial SSU rRNA
Rfam family: Bacterial small subunit ribosomal RNA
Source: RNAcentral